This 253-nucleotide ribosomal RNA is filed under the name uncultured bacterium. RNAcentral's name for it is "partial 16S ribosomal RNA". It matches the Rfam family "Bacterial small subunit ribosomal RNA", at positions 524 to 776 of the family's 1533-position model. The record is from RNAcentral.
UACGUAGGGGGCAAGCGUUGUCCGGAAUUAUUGGGCGUAAAGCGCGCGCAGGCGGUCCUUUAAGUCUGAUGUGAAAGCCCACGGCUCAACCGUGGAGGGUCAUUGGAAACUGGGGGACUUGAGUGCAGGAGAGAAGAGUGGAAUUCCACGUGUAGCGGUGAAAUGCGUAGAGAUGUGGAGGAACACCAGUGGCGAAGGCGACUCUUUGGCCUGUAACUGACGCUGAGGCGCGAAGGCCAGGGGAGCAAACGGG